RNAcentral lists this ribosomal RNA (768 nucleotides) under uncultured bacterium. RNAcentral's name for it is "bacterial SSU rRNA". It matches the Rfam family "Bacterial small subunit ribosomal RNA", at positions 62 to 804 of the family's 1533-position model. The record is from RNAcentral.
UCGAACGAGAAGUACGUAGCAAUACGUAUUGUAAAGUGGCGCACGGGUGAGUAACACGUGGGUAAUCUGCCCUUGAGUUUGGGAUAACCCCGCGAAAGCGGGGCUAAUACCGAAUAAGACCACGGGGACCAAAGUCCCUGAGGUAAAAGGUGGCCUCUAUUUAUAAGCUACCACUUGAGGAUGAGCCCGCGGCCCAUUAGCUAGUUGGCAGGGUAACGGCCUACCAAGGCAAUGAUGGGUAGCUGGUCUGAGAGGACGAUCAGCCACACUGGAACUGAGACACGGUCCAGACUCCUACGGGAGGCAGCAGUGGGGAAUAUUGCGCAAUGGGCGAAAGCCUGACGCAGCAACGCCGCGUGGGGGAUGAAGGUUCUCGGAUUGUAAACCCCUUUCGAUCGGAACGAAUCCCCUCCUGGUAAAUAAUCAGGAGGAUCGACGGUACCGAGAGAAGAAGCCACGGCUAACUCUGUGCCAGCAGCCGCGGUAAGACAGAGGUGGCGAGCGUUGUUCGGAUUUAUUGGGCGUAAAGCGAACGCAGGUGGUUUGGUAAGUCAGGGGUGAAAGACCACAGCUUAACUGUGGCAUUGCCUUUGAUACUGCCUUUCUUGAGUAGAGUAGGGGGAAGCGGAAUUCCGAGUGUAGAGGUGAAAUUCGUAGAUAUUCGGAGGAACACCGGUGGCGAAGGCGGCUUCCUGGACUCUAACUGACACUCAUGUUCGAAAGCGUGGGGAGCAAACAGGAUUAGAUACCCUGGUAGUCCACGCCCUA